UGCCAGCAGUGAACAAUCUGAAAAAGAAAUCAAGAAAGUAAUCCCAUUUACAAUAGCUACAAAUACAAUCAAACAACUAGGAAUUAACUAAAGAAACAAAAGAUCUCCACAAUGAAAACUAUAAAACACUGACAAAAGAAAUUGAAGAGGCGUUCUCUAGAGGUGACUUGCUGGGAGAGUGUCCCUGGCUUUGAAUCCCUGUUGCCACCCUGCAGUCGGUGGCCUCCUCCCGGAGCAGAGCAAGGUCAGGCGGCCCCUGCUUGAGUCCUAUGUCGCCAUGGCCACUGUUCCUGAGUUGCUGCAGCAGCAGGAGGAGGACCGUAGCAAGCCAAGAUCUGUAUCUGUGGACGUGAAUGUUGAUCCCUCGCUUCAGAUUGACAUACCUGAUGCGCUCAGUGAAAGAGAUAAGGUCAAAUUUACGGUGCACACAAAAACCACACUGCCCACAUUUCAGAGUCCAGAGUUUUCUGUUACAAGGCAACAAGAAGACUGUGUGUGACUACAUAACACUCUUUUUGAAAGAACGGUCUAUGCUGGGCUUAUUAUUCCGCCUGCUCCUAUGAAGCCUGACUUCGAUGGUCCUUGAGAUAAAAUGCAGAAACUGGGAGAAGAUGAAGGGUCUAUGACCAAAGAAGAAUUUACGAAGAUGAAAUAAAAACUGCAAGCUGAGUAUCUCGCUGUUUUUAAGAAGACUGUGUCCUCCCAUGAAGCCUUUCUUUAGUGGCUUUCUUCUCACCCUGUUCUCAGUAAAGAUCGCAACUUUCAUGUUUUCCUGGAAUAUGAUCAGGAUCUAAGUGUUAGGUGGAAAAAUACUAAAGAGAUGUUUGGUGGCUUCUUCAAAAGCGUGGUGAAAGUGCUGAUGCAGUCCUUUUUACUAGAGUUAAGGAGGUAGAUGACUUCUUUGAGCAAGAGAAUAACUUCCUUAUUAACUGUUACAAUAGGAUCAAAGAUUCUUGUGUGAAAUCUCACAAAAUGACCAGAUCUCAUAAAAAUGUUGCCGACGACUAUAUUCACACUGCAGCCUGCUUACAUAGCCUGGCUUUAGAAGAGCCCACAGUCAUCAAAAAGUAUCUGUUGAAGGUUGCUGAGCUAUUUGAAAAACUUAGGAAAGUAGAGGGUCGAAUCCCAUCAGAUGAAGAUUUAAAGCUAACACAGCUCCCCCGAUUCUACAUGCUCAACAUGGAGGCUGCUAAGGAUCUCUUAUAUAGAUGCACCAAAACCCUCAUUGACUAUGAGAACUCAAACAAAGCUCUGGAUAAGGCCCAGUUUAAAGAGCAAAGACAUCAAGUUGGCUGAGGCACACCAGCAGGAGUGCUGCCAGAAAUUUGAAUAGCUUUCCAAAUCUGCAAAAGAAGAACUGAUAAAUUUCAAACGGAAGAAAGUGGCAGCAUUUAGAAAGAAUCUAAUUGAAAUGUCUGAAAUGGAAAUAUAACAUGCAAGGAACAGUGUCUCCCUUUGGCAGAGCUGUAUUGACUUGUUCAAGAAUAACUGAUAUGCCUUCACUCUGAAGAAAAGAAAUGUAUGUGAAAGAGAGCCAAGCAUCACUUGCACUUAAAUCAUUACCACGGAAGAUUUAUUAUCUUCAACUUUAGUUUAAAAUUAUGUGAAUAAACAUUUUGAUUUCUGCAAAUCAAACAUUUAACCAUGUUGGUUUAAAACUAUUAUUGCUUGCUACUUGGACAUAACUAAUUUUUCCUUGUGCAUUUAAUACCUCUGGGCAGAAUCCAAAUACUGAGUUCUCUUGUAGUACAUCUUUAGUUACUAAGAAAGCGUGUAGGAGACAUAUGCCUUCUGGAAACACGUAGAAGCAAUCACCUGGCCCAUGUCCCUACAAACCCAUGAAUGUCAGGGAAGUGCCAGUUACAGCAGGUGAUUCAGCUACUUGAGGCAAGUAACAGACCUUUUAUUCCUCGCUGAAGGUGGGGUUUGUGUUUUUGUUUUGUCCACUGUUACUCCCCUGGUAGUCAUCUGGUGUUUGUGCUAUAACAACAGCAAGAAAAUCUCAUUUAUCUUUAUAUACUCUUUGCAUCUCCUUUUUUUUUUUUUUUAGUUGAGAUAUAAAUAUUUGAGGGGAGAAAAGUAUCUAUGGAUAUAUAUGGAAACAGAUAAUGUGGUCUACUUUAUAAGAUGGCCAGAUCUACAUUAGGAAAGGUAUGAGCUCCCUCCCUAGUGGCCAUGGGAGGUGAGGAGGGGGCGGUGUAUGUCUUUGAGCAUUUGUUUUUUAUAAAGUAUAUAAUAAAAUAAUAGUGCUACUAAAAAGAAGAAACAAAGAAA
Cercocebus atys (sooty mangabey) is the source of this 2274-nucleotide RNA transcript. It is a transcript of the gene named sorting nexin-5-like, with no coding region annotated. Lineage: Eukaryota; Metazoa; Chordata; Mammalia; Primates; Cercopithecidae. The transcript has 2 exons. The record is from RefSeq and is a predicted model, not a curated record.